Patella vulgata (common limpet) is the source of this 896-nucleotide long non-coding RNA. RefSeq lists it as uncharacterized. Lineage: Eukaryota; Metazoa; Mollusca; Gastropoda; Patellidae. The transcript has 2 exons. The record is from RefSeq and is a predicted model, not a curated record.
AAUCAAUAUACUACACCAGUUUGUAUUUAGCCUUGUCAAAAGACAAUAUUUAUUUAAACGGUUGUCUACCAAAUUCUGUGUUUGUUUCUUUGCUGAGCGAGAAAUUUUCUGGCUGCUUGCCAAAGUAUGGCUGAACCAACCGAUAUCAAGGACGGUUUUAUACAAGAAAGUAAUUACCAUAUAUUACAAGACGUUUUCACACUGGGGAAUAAAUCAGACUAAUAAGACAUUGCUCAGUAAUAGUUACAGUAAAUGAAACAUACGAUGAAUACCCGUCUGUUAACUUCUUGGUUAGUUCUCUUGAUGGUUUGUAUUGUCUACGUCAAAUCAGAAUGGAAGGAUCCGGGAACACCUUUAAAAUCACCAUUUGCUCCACCAGAAGGAAAAAGAGUUCAAGUGGCCAAGAACUCCGGCAAUCUCCACAGAUCUGAUACACGAAAGCAUGGCCAUUCCAAGGAUAAACAUAUUCACCAUGAUCCACGUGGUGAUAAAAUACUAUCUACAAGGAGAAAGGUUUCAGGCCAGUGCGCUGGUAGGUCAUACGUACCUCGAACCCAUAUAUGUUGUAAUGGAAAAAUUAUUCGCCGACAAGGUAUGAGACCAGCUUGCUGUGGUGAUGUAGUUUACGACUUUGUGUUUGAUCUUUGUUGUGAAAAAAAUGAAGUUAGACCAAGAACUGUUGGAAGACCAUUUUGUUAAACACUGUUUUUAAUACUUAAAUCUCUAUGAAACACAUUCACUAACAUUUAGAGAAACUCAUUGUUCCAAACUACAUUCCUUUUGACAAUUUCCAUGUUAUCUAUUUUAAAAAUCAAGGAAUUACACCAUAUUGUGUUUUAUUGCUUUACGUGUCUUACAUUUUGUAGUUAUAGAUAACAAAUAAAUUUUUAUUCACA